Molecule: ribosomal RNA, 898 nt
Rfam family: Eukaryotic large subunit ribosomal RNA
GCAUAUCAAUAAGCGGAGGAAAAAGAAACCAACAGGGGAUUGCCCCAGUAACGGCGAAGUGAAGCGGCAACAGCUCAAAUUUGAAAUCUGGCCCCCAGGGCCCGAGUUGUAAUUUGUAGAGGAUGCUUUUGGCGCGGUGCCUUCCGAGUUCCCUGGAACGGGACGCCAUAGAGGGUGAGAGCCCCGUCUGGUUGGACACCUAGCCUCUGUAAAGCUCCUUCGACGAGUCGAGUAGUUUGGGAAUGCUGCUCUAAAUGGGAGGUAUAUGUCUUCUAAAGCUAAAUACCGGCCAGAGACCGAUAGCGCACAAGUAGAGUGAUCGAAAGAUGAAAAGCACUUUGAAAAGAGGGUUAAAUAGUACGUGAAAUUGUUGAAAGGGAAGCGUUUGUGACCAGACUUGGGCCCGGUUGAUCAUCCACCGUUCUCGGUGGUGCACUCUGCCGGCCCAGGCCAGCAUCAGUUCGCGCCGGGGGAUAAAGGCUUCGGGAAUGUGGCUCCUCCGGGAGUGUUAUAGCCCGUUGUGUAAUACCCUGGUGCGGACUGAGGUUCGCGCUCCGCAAGGAUGCUGGCGUAAUGGUCAUCAGCGACCCGUCUUGAAACACGGACCAAGGAGUCGUCUUCGUAUGCGAGUGUUCGGGUGUCAAACCCCUACGCGUAAUGAAAGUGAACGCAGGUGAGAGCUUCGGCGCAUCAUCGACCGAUCCUGAUGUUCUCGGAUGGAUUUGAGUAAGAGCAUACGGGGCCGGACCCGAAAGAAGGUGAACUAUGCCUGUAUAGGGUGAAGCCAGAGGAAACUCUGGUGGAGGCUCGCAGCGGUUCUGACGUGCAAAUCGAUCGUCAAAUAAUGGGCAUGGGGGGCGAAAGACUAAUCGAACCUUCUAGUAGCUGGUUUCCGCGA